UACGUAGGGGGCGAGCGUUGUCCGGAUUUAUUGGGCGUAAAGAGCGUGUAGGCGGCCAGGUAGGUCUGCUGUGAAAACUCGAGGCUCAACCUCGAGACGUCGGCGGAAACCAUCUGGCUAGAGUCCGGAAGAGGAGAGUGGAAUUCCUGGUGUAGCGGUGAAAUGCGCAGAUAUCAGGAAGAACACCCGUGGCGAAAGCGCUCUGCUAGGCCGCAACUGACACUGAGGGACGAAAGCUAGGGGAGCGAAUGGG
RNAcentral lists this ribosomal RNA (253 nucleotides) under uncultured bacterium. RNAcentral describes it as "partial 16S ribosomal RNA". It matches the Rfam family "Bacterial small subunit ribosomal RNA", at positions 524 to 776 of the family's 1533-position model. The record is from RNAcentral.